RNAcentral lists this ribosomal RNA (441 nucleotides) under uncultured bacterium. RNAcentral's name for it is "bacterial SSU rRNA". It matches the Rfam family "Bacterial small subunit ribosomal RNA", at positions 958 to 1397 of the family's 1533-position model. The record is from RNAcentral.
AACGCGAAGAACCUUACCUGGGCUCGAAAUGCAGGAGACCGGGGUAGAAAUAUCCUUUUCUCGCAAGAGACUGCUGUAUAGGUGCUGCAUGGCUGUCGUCAGCUCGUGUCGUGAGAUGUUGGGUUAAGUCCCGCAACGAGCGCAACCCUCAUCCCUAGUUGCCACCGGGUCAAGCCGAGCACUCUAGUGAAACCGCCCCGGAUAACGGGGAGGAAGGUGGGGAUGACGUCAAGUCCUCAUGGCCUUUAUGUCCAGGGCUACACACGUGCUACAAUGGUCGGUACAAACCGUCGCAAAACUGCAAAGUUGAGCUAAUCGGAAAAAGCCGGCCUCAGUUCGGAUUGGAGUCUGCAACUCGACUCCAUGAAGCUGGAAUCGCUAGUAAUCGCAGAUCAGAACGCUGCGGUGAAUACGUUCCCGGGCCUUGUACACACCGGCUAC